Molecule: ribosomal RNA, 253 nt
Filed under: uncultured bacterium
Lineage: Bacteria
Description: partial 16S ribosomal RNA
Rfam family: Bacterial small subunit ribosomal RNA
Source: RNAcentral
UACGGAGGGUGCAAGCGUUGUUCGGAAUCAUUGCGCGUAAAGGACGUGUAGGCGGUGAGGUAAGUCAGAUGUGAAAGCCCUGGGCUCAACCCAGGAAGUGCAUUUGAAACUACCUGACUUGAGUACGGGAGAGGACGGGGGAAUUCCCGGUGUAGAGGUGAAAUUCGUAGAUAUCGGGAGGAAUACCGGUGGCGAAGGCGCCCGUCUGGACCGAUACUGACGAUGAGACGCGAAAGAGUGGGGAGCAAACAGG